RNAcentral lists this ribosomal RNA (250 nucleotides) under uncultured bacterium. RNAcentral's name for it is "partial 16S ribosomal RNA". It matches the Rfam family "Bacterial small subunit ribosomal RNA", at positions 524 to 775 of the family's 1533-position model. The record is from RNAcentral.
UACGGAAGGUGCAAGCGUUGUCCGGAAUUACUGGGCGUAAAGGGCGUGUAGGCGGUUUUUUAAGUCAGAUGUGAAAGUUCGGGGCUCAACCUCGGAAUUGCAUUUGAAACUGGAGAACUUGAGAACUGGAGAGGUAAGUGGAAUUCCUAGUGAAGCGGAAAAUGCGUAGAUAUUAGGAGGAACACCAGUGGCGAAGGCGACUUACUGGACAGAUACUGACGCUGAGGCGAAAAGCGUGGGGAGCGAACAG